GGACCCGACUGCUAUCGGAUUGGGACUAAGCCAUGCAAGUCAACUCCGCAAGGGGUGGCGCACGGCUCAGUAACACGUAGUCAACCUACCCUAGGGACGGGGAUAACCUCGGGAAACUGAGGCUAAACCCCGAUAGGCUAUAACUUCUGGAAUGGGUUAGUAGCUGAAAUACUAUAUGGCCCUACGGAUGGGACUGCGGCCGAUCAGGUUGUUGGUGGGGUAAUGGCCCACCAAGCCUAUAACCGGUGCGGGCUCUGAGAGGAGGAGCCCGGACGAUGGGCGACUGAGACAAGGGCCCGAGGUCCUACGGGCGGCAGCAGGCGCGAUG
Molecule: ribosomal RNA, 328 nt
Filed under: uncultured archaeon
Lineage: Archaea
Description: bacterial SSU rRNA
Rfam family: Archaeal small subunit ribosomal RNA
Source: RNAcentral